This 254-nucleotide ribosomal RNA is filed under the name uncultured bacterium. Its description in RNAcentral is "partial 16S ribosomal RNA". It matches the Rfam family "Bacterial small subunit ribosomal RNA", at positions 524 to 777 of the family's 1533-position model. The record is from RNAcentral.
UGCGAAGGGGGCUAGCGUUGCUCGGAAUCACUGGGCGUAAAGGGUGCGUAGGCGGGUCUUUAAGUCAGGGGUGAAAUCCUGGAGCUCAACUCCAGAACUGCCUUUGAUACUGAGGAUCUUGAGUUCGGGAGAGGUGAGUGGAACUGCGAGUGUAGAGGUGAAAUUCGUAGAUAUUCGCAAGAACACCAGUGGCGAAGGCGGCUCACUGGCCCGAUACUGACGCUGAGGCACGAAAGCGUGGGGAGCAAACAGGG